RNAcentral lists this long non-coding RNA (238 nucleotides) under Sorghum bicolor (sorghum). RNAcentral's name for it is "long non-coding RNA (SBIC_LNC001004)". The record is from RNAcentral. Lineage: Eukaryota; Viridiplantae; Streptophyta; Magnoliopsida; Poales; Poaceae.
GCUACUAUCUAGAUCUACUCUAGUUUAGAGAAGAGAGGAGAGCUCUCAUCUCUAAACCCUAGCUUUUGCUCUGUCUAUGAAUAAUGAAUAAUGAUCAAGGGGUGCCUCCUCCAGGGGCCACGGGGUCUGGUUAUAUAGUCCCCUCAAGUGAACCUGGGCCGUCGGAUCAAACCGACAUUGAUUGAACGGUUAUUCUUGAUCCUUUAGGUCGGUGGAGAUCUCCCGAGAGAAAGAGUCC